This 248-nucleotide non-coding RNA is filed under the name Bacillus altitudinis. Its description in RNAcentral is "T-box". It matches the Rfam family "T-box leader". From Rfam's summary of the family: Uncharged tRNA acts as the effector for transcription antitermination of genes in the T-box leader family. T-boxes are found upstream of many aminoacyl-tRNA synthetase genes and some amino acid biosynthetic genes usually in Gram-positive bacteria. The anticodon of a specific tRNA base pairs to a specifier sequence within the T-box motif, and the NCCA acceptor tail of the tRNA base pairs to a conserved bulge in the T-box antiterminator hairpin. Lineage: Bacteria; Bacillati; Bacillota; Bacilli; Caryophanales; Bacillaceae. The record is from RNAcentral.
CGAUAAACGUUGAAGAGGACUAGUAGCUUUAGAGUCAGUAUCUACAGAGAGCCGGUGCUAGCUGGAAACCGGUGUUACUUUCUAAAGUGAACUCACCUCUGAGUGUCUGCUUGAAAUGAUAGUAGGGCAGACCGAGUGACAUUGCAUCACUCGUUACCAAAAUGGAUGAAAGAUGUCCAUGAGACGGCAGCAUGAUUUGCCGUGAACAAGGGUGGUACCGCGAAAAAUAAAGCUUUUUCGCCCCUUUG